This 399-nucleotide ribosomal RNA is filed under the name uncultured bacterium. RNAcentral describes it as "bacterial SSU rRNA". It matches the Rfam family "Bacterial small subunit ribosomal RNA", at positions 359 to 773 of the family's 1533-position model. The record is from RNAcentral.
GAAUAUUGCAAAAUGGGCGCAAGCCUGAUGCAGCAACGCCGCGUGGGCGAUGAAGGCCUUCGGGCCGUAAAGCCCUUUUUGGAGGGAAGAGGAAGGACGGUACCUCCAGAAUAAGCCUCGGCUAACUACGUGCCAGCAGCCGCGGUAAAACGUAGGAGGCAAGCGUUAUCCGGAUUUACUGGGCGUAAAGCGCGUGUAGGCGGCUGGGCAAGUUGGCUGUGAAAGCUCCCGGCUUAACUGGGAGAGGUCGGUCAAAACUGCCGCAGCUGGAGAUUGGUAGAGGGAGAUGGAAUUCCGGGUGUAGUGGUGAAAUGCGUAGAUAUCCGGAGGAACACCAGUGGCGAAAGCGAUCUCCUGGACCACAUCUGACGCUCAGACGCGAAAGCUAGGGGAGCGAAC